UUGACCUCAAAUCGGGUGAGACUACCCGCUGAACUUAAGCAUAUCAAUAAGCGGAGGAAAAGAACUAACAAGGAUU
Molecule: ribosomal RNA, 76 nt
Filed under: uncultured Lactarius
Lineage: Eukaryota; Fungi; Basidiomycota; Agaricomycetes; Russulales; Russulaceae
Description: partial 28S ribosomal RNA
Rfam family: Eukaryotic large subunit ribosomal RNA
Source: RNAcentral